GGGGCAACCGUGGUCGGCAUUAUUGGGCGUAAGAGCUCGUAGGUGGUUGGUCACGUCUGCUGUGGAAACGCAACGCUUAACGUUGCGCGUGCAGUGGGUACGGGCUGACUAGAGUGCAGUAGGGGAGUCUGGAAUUCCUGGUGUAGCGGUGAAAUGCGCAGAUAUCAGGAGGAACACCGGUGGCGAAGGCGGGACUCUGGGCUGUAACUGACACUGAGGAGCGAAAGCAUGGGGAGCGAACAGGAUUAGAUACCCUGGUAGUCCAUGCCGUAAACGUUGGGCACUAGGUGUGGGGGGCAUUCCACGUUCUCCGCGCCGUAGCUAACGCAUUAAGUGCCCCGCCUGGGGAGUACGGUCGCAAGGCUAAAACUCAAAGGAAUUGACGGGGGCCCGCACAAGCGGCGGAGCAUGCGGAUUAAUUCGAUGCAACGCGAAGAACCUUACCAAGGCUUGACAUACACCAGACCGUCCUGGAAACAGGUCCUCUUCUUUGAAGCUGGUGUACAGGUGGUGCAUGGUUGUCGUCAGCUCGUGUGCGUGAGAUGUUGGGUUAAGUCCCGCAACGAGCGCAACCCUCGUUCUAUGUUGCCAGCACGUGAUGGUGGGAACUCAUAGGAGACUGCCGGGGUCAACUCGGAGGAAGGUGGGGAUGACGUCAAAUCAUCAUGCCCUUUAUGUCUUGGGCUUCACGCAUGCUACAAUGGCUGGUACAGAGAGAGGCGAACCCGUGAGGGCAAGCGAAUCCCUUAAAGCCAGUCUCAGUUCGGAUCGUAGUCUGCAAUUCGACUACGUGAAGUCGGAGUCGCUAGUAAUCGCAGAUCAGCAACGCUGCGGUGAAUACGUUCCCGGGCCUUGUACACACCGCCCGUCAAGUCACGAAAGUCGGUAACACCCGAAGCCGGUGGCCUAACCCCUAGGAGGAGGGCGCCUCAUAUGGGACAUACUGAUUAUGAGAAUAAGUCUACAAGGGGGGCCACGCAUAAAACGGGAGUUUAUAAAACCCCAAACU
Molecule: ribosomal RNA, 1009 nt
Filed under: Brevibacterium casei
Lineage: Bacteria; Bacillati; Actinomycetota; Actinomycetes; Micrococcales; Brevibacteriaceae
Description: bacterial SSU rRNA
Rfam family: Bacterial small subunit ribosomal RNA
Source: RNAcentral